This 692-nucleotide ribosomal RNA is filed under the name Photobacterium leiognathi subsp. mandapamensis. Its description in RNAcentral is "bacterial LSU rRNA". It matches the Rfam family "Bacterial large subunit ribosomal RNA", at positions 823 to 1518 of the family's 2925-position model. Lineage: Bacteria; Pseudomonadati; Pseudomonadota; Gammaproteobacteria; Vibrionales; Vibrionaceae. The record is from RNAcentral.
GAAAGGCCAAUCAAACUCGGAGAUAGCUGGUUCUCCCCGAAAGCUAUUUAGGUAGCGCCUCGGACGAAUACUACUGGGGGUAGAGCACUGUUAAGGCUAGGGGGUCAUCCCGACUUACCAACCCUUUGCAAACUCCGAAUACCAGUAAGUACUAUCCGGGAGACACACGGCGGGUGCUAACGUCCGUCGUGAAGAGGGAAACAACCCAGACCGCCAGCUAAGGUCCCAAAGUUAUAGCUAAGUGGGAAACGAUGUGGGAAGGCUCAGACAGCCAGGAUGUUGGCUUAGAAGCAGCCAUCAUUUAAAGAAAGCGUAAUAGCUCACUGGUCGAGUCGGCCUGCGCGGAAGAUUUAACGGGGCUAAGCUAUACACCGAAGCUGCGGCAAUGAAGUUUUACUUCAUUGGGUAGGGGAGCGUUCUGUAAGCCGUUGAAGGUGUGCUGUAAGGCAUGCUGGAGGUAUCAGAAGUGCGAAUGCUGACAUGAGUAACGAUAAAGGGAGUGAAAAACUCCCUCGCCGGAAGAUCAAGGGUUCCUGUCCAACGUUAAUCGGGGCAGGGUAAGUCGACCCCUAAGGCGAGGCCGAAAGGCGUAGUCGAUGGGAAACGGGUUAAUAUUCCCGUACUUCUUAUAAUUGCGAUGGAGGGACGGAGAAGGCUAGGUGAGCCUGGCGACGGUUGUCCAGGUCCAAGUA